RNAcentral lists this transfer RNA (71 nucleotides) under Loxodonta africana (African savanna elephant). It matches the Rfam family "tRNA". Rfam says of the family: Transfer RNA (tRNA) molecules are approximately 80 nucleotides in length. Their secondary structure includes four short double-helical elements and three loops (D, anti-codon, and T loops). Lineage: Eukaryota; Metazoa; Chordata; Mammalia; Proboscidea; Elephantidae. The record is from Rfam by way of RNAcentral.
GCAGCGGUAGUUCAACGGUAGAAUUCUCGCCUUCCAGGCAGGAGACCUGGGUUCGAAUGCCAGCCAGUGCA